CUCUUUGAAAGGAACGGAUCGCGAAGAUCCGGAUCCCCUCAAAGAGCCAUAAAUCCCAUCACUAGUCACAACUCUAUUGAGUCGGUCAGUUUAGGCGAUUGAUGCUGGCGUGCUCUGACAGAACCUCGCACGGUUUUCAACGCGGAGUCUGUUUUGGAGUUAAUAUUUCUCAGGUAAAUGCGAAAUAAUGUUAUAUAAUCUUAUUUAUACACGUUUGACGCCAUGUUCGGUUAAUUUUGUUGAACUUGAUGUUCCCCCGCUAAAAAUGCUCGUGUCAGACUGGCUGGUGUAACGUACGUUGGCCUGCAGGAUGGAGCUGGCUAGAAUGUCUAUAGCUAACUUAAUAAAGGAGUGAAUACAAUUUGGUAUCGAAGUCACUGAAGAGGAGAGGAAAAAGUUUGAAGUCUUUUUAUUCAUAUCCCAAAUGAGGGAACGUGAAGACUUAAACAGAAGUUUGGUCAUUCAAAAAAGUCUCUGCAACCUGAAGAAAGCAGUUGCAAAGAAAUUACAAGGCCUUUGGAGAUUAAUGCUCUUGGAGAGGAUGCUACAUCAAUAGAGGGACAUGUGAAAGUCCUGCAGGACCAAUAUAGAAGGACACAGUCAGAGACUCACAUUGUGGAAGAUCGAAUGAGGAGGACCGCUUUUACUUUACUGAGUUUUUCAUUGAAGAGCUAGUUUUUUCUUGACAUGCUUGCUGUUGUGAGAUGUAAUGAAAUCUUUUUAAAAGAACAUUUCUAAAUAAAAUUGUAUAUUUGUAAGCCAAGGUAUUUAUUUAUGCAUGCACACAGA
Long non-coding RNA from Cyprinus carpio carpio, 789 nucleotides. The record is from Ensembl. NCBI's taxonomy places the organism in Eukaryota, Metazoa, Chordata, Actinopteri, Cypriniformes, Cyprinidae.